Molecule: ribosomal RNA, 402 nt
Filed under: uncultured bacterium
Lineage: Bacteria
Description: bacterial SSU rRNA
Rfam family: Bacterial small subunit ribosomal RNA
Source: RNAcentral
UCGGGAAUUUUGGGCAAUGGGCGAAAGCCUGACCCAGCAACGCCGCGUGAGGGAUGAAGUAUUUCGGUAUGUAAACCUCGAAAGAAUGGGAAGAAUAAAUGACGGUACCAUUUAUAAGCUCCGGCUAACUACGUGCCAGCAGCCGCGUUAAUACGUAGGGAGCUAGCGUUGUUCGGAUUUACUGGGCGUAAAGGGCGCGUAGGCGGCGCUGUAAGUCACUUGUGAAAUCUCUGAGCUUAACUCAGAACGGCCAAGUGAUACUGCUGUGCUAGAGUGCGGAAGAGGCAACCGGAAUUCUUGGUGUAGCGGUGAAAUGCGUAGAUAUCAAGAGGAACACCUGAGGCGAAGGCGGGUUGCUGGGCCGACACUGACGCUGAUGCGCGAAAGCCAGGGGAGCAAACG